ACCAGGCAUGGUGGUGCAUGCCUGUGGUCCUAGCUACUUGGGAGGCUGAGGCAGGAGAAUCGCUUAAGCCCAGGAGUUCUGGGCCAUAGUGCCCUACGCCAAUUGGAUGUCCACACUAAGUUCAGCAUCAAUAUGAUAACCUCCUGGGAGUGAGGGACCACUGGUUGCCUAAGGAGGGGUGAACUGGCCCAGGUCAGAAAUGGAGCAAAUCAAAACUCGCAUUCUGAUCAGUAGUAGGAUCACACCUGUGAAUAGCUGCUGCACUCUAGUCUGGGCAACAUAGUAAGACUCUGUCUUGA
This is an unclassified non-coding RNA of Pongo abelii (Sumatran orangutan), 299 nucleotides long. It matches the Rfam family "Metazoan signal recognition particle RNA". From Rfam's summary of the family: The signal recognition particle (SRP) is a universally conserved ribonucleoprotein. It is involved in the co-translational targeting of proteins to membranes. Lineage: Eukaryota; Metazoa; Chordata; Mammalia; Primates; Hominidae. The record is from Ensembl.